GUGCCAGCAGCCGCGGUAAGACGGAGGGGGCUAGCGUUGUUCGGAAUGACUGGGCGUAAAGGGUGCGUAGGCGGUUUUUUCUAAGUAAGGCGUGAAAGCCCUGGGCUCAACCCAGGAACUGCGCUUUAAACUGGAAGACUUGAGGGUGAGAGAGGAAAGUGGAAUUCCUAGUGUAGAGGUGAAAUUCGUAGAGAUUAGGAAGAACACCAGAGGCGAAGGCGGCUUUCUGGAUCACAACUGACGCUGAGGCACGAAAGCGUGGGGAGCAAACAGGAUUAGAUACCCUGGUAGUCC
This 294-nucleotide ribosomal RNA is filed under the name uncultured bacterium. RNAcentral's name for it is "partial 16S ribosomal RNA". It matches the Rfam family "Bacterial small subunit ribosomal RNA", at positions 505 to 796 of the family's 1533-position model. The record is from RNAcentral.